UCCAAUCAAAUCUUCGACGCUCAUAUAAUCGCAGGGAUAUGGCCUGCAAGUUUCUACCGGUCUACCGUAAACGGACCGACUAUGAGAGGCAGACAGAUGUAA
This 102-nucleotide non-coding RNA is filed under the name Edaphobacillus lindanitolerans. Its description in RNAcentral is "Guanine sequence". It matches the Rfam family "Purine riboswitch aptamer". From Rfam's summary of the family: Riboswitches are metabolite binding domains within certain messenger RNAs that serve as precision sensors for their corresponding targets. Allosteric rearrangement of mRNA structure is mediated by ligand binding, and this results in modulation of gene expression. A class of riboswitches that selectively recognises guanine and becomes saturated at concentrations as low as 5 nM. Lineage: Bacteria; Bacillati; Bacillota; Bacilli; Caryophanales; Bacillaceae. The record is from RNAcentral.